CCUACGGGAGGCAGCAGUGGGGAAUUUUGGACAAUGGGCGAAAGCCUGAUCCAGCAAUGCCGCGUGAGUGAAGAAGGCCUUCGGGUUGUAAAGCUCUUUUGUCAGGGAAGAAACGGUGAGGGCUAAUAUCCUUUGCUAAUGACGGUACCUGAAGAAUAAGCACCGGCUAACUACGUGCCAGCAGCCGCGGUAAUACGUAGGGUGCAAGCGUUAAUCGGAAUUACUGGGCGUAAAGCGUGCGCAGGCGGUUUUGUAAGUCUGAUGUGAAAUCCCCGGGCUCAACCUGGGAAUUGCAUUGGAGACUGCAAGGCUAGAAUCUGGCAGAGGGGGGUAGAAUUCCACGUGUAGCAGUGAAAUGCGUAGAUAUGUGGAGGAACACCGAUGGCGAAGGCAGCCCCCUGGGUCAAGAUUGACGCUCAUGCACGAAAGCGUGGGGAGCAAACAGGAUUAGAUACCCUGGUAGUCCACGCCCUAAACGAUGUCUACUAGUUGUCGGGUCUUAAUUGACUUGGUAACGCAGCUAACGCGUGAAGUAGACCGCCUGGGGAGUACGGUCGCAAGAUUAAAACUCAAAAGGAAUUGACGG
Molecule: ribosomal RNA, 586 nt
Filed under: uncultured bacterium
Lineage: Bacteria
Description: bacterial SSU rRNA
Rfam family: Bacterial small subunit ribosomal RNA
Source: RNAcentral